GUUCGACUCGAGCGAAGCGAGAGAACGUUGCGCCGGCAACGGCCCGCAGGGGGAGCCACGAAGUGGCGAGUAAUCCUCUAUCACCGACCA
This 90-nucleotide small RNA is filed under the name Escherichia coli. Its description in RNAcentral is "partial RtT sRNA". It matches the Rfam family "RtT RNA", at positions 41 to 130 of the family's 130-position model. From Rfam's summary of the family: This family represents a bacterial cis-regulatory element known as RtT RNA. The exact function of RtT is unknown although it is thought that it may be involved in changing the cellular response in relation to amino acid starvation. Lineage: Bacteria; Pseudomonadati; Pseudomonadota; Gammaproteobacteria; Enterobacterales; Enterobacteriaceae. The record is from RNAcentral.